AAAACAGGUGACGCGCAGAGUGAAGACCACCACGGCGAGCAGGGGGAGGAGAAACUCCAGGAUGGUUGAUUUUGUGGUUUCAUACACUGAGAGCUCAUCCUGUGUGUGCUGGGUUUUUAGUGUGUCUCUUCACCUGAAAAGAGUAGGUGACCACGACUGCAAUGAACCACACGGUGGCACUGACACACCUGGCCGCUCCUAUGGUCCUCCAACGAUGAAGGGUACUGGAUGCGUGGACGACAGCGAGCAAAUCUGUGGAGCUCCCCUGGCAGAGCUUGCACAUCACAUACAAGCAACUCAAGUCCUUUAAGAAGCAGCCUGGAUUUGAGUCUGCCCAUCUUUCAUCUUCUCCCUCACACUUUCUGUCCCUGUUAAUGCGUUUCUAAAAGCCCCAAAUUAAAUCUCACAAAAAAUGUUUAUUUACUCCUGACUAUUCGACAUCAGAAAAAACAUACAUUAAAAAUGUCCUCCUUUACUUUAAAAAAAGUAAUUUUAUAAAAGAUAAAUGUCUUAAAUAAUGCCAUAUUUUACUCAGCAGAUCCUCU
Oreochromis niloticus (Nile tilapia) is the source of this 545-nucleotide long non-coding RNA. RefSeq lists it as uncharacterized. The transcript is spliced from 3 exons. NCBI's taxonomy places the organism in Eukaryota, Metazoa, Chordata, Actinopteri, Cichliformes, Cichlidae. The record is from RefSeq and is a predicted model, not a curated record.